RNAcentral lists this ribosomal RNA (253 nucleotides) under uncultured bacterium. Its description in RNAcentral is "partial 16S ribosomal RNA". It matches the Rfam family "Bacterial small subunit ribosomal RNA", at positions 524 to 776 of the family's 1533-position model. The record is from RNAcentral.
UACGGAGGGAGCUAGCGUUAUUCGGAAUUACUGGGCGUAAAGCGCACGUAGGCGGAAUGUUAAGUCAGGGGUGAAAUCCCGGGGCUCAACCCCGGAACUGCCUUUGAUACUGGCAUUCUCGAGUCCGGAAGAGGUGAGUGGAAUUCCGAGUGUAGAGGUGAAAUUCGUAGAUAUUCGGAGGAACACCAGUGGCGAAGGCGGCUCACUGGUCCGGUACUGACGCUGAGACGCGAAAGCGUGGGGAGCAAACAGG